CAGGCUUAACACAUGCAAGUCGAGGGGCAGCAUGGUCUUAGCUUGCUAAGACUGAUGGCGACCGGCGCACGGGUGAGUAACACGUAUCCAACCUGCCGUCUACUCUUGGACAGCCUUCUGAAAGGAAGAUUAAUACAAGAUGGCAUCAUGAGUCCGCAUGUUCACAUGAUUAAAGGUAUUCCGGUAGACGAUGGGGAUGCGUUCCAUUAGAUAGUAGGCGGGGUAACGGCCCACCUAGUCUUCGAUGGAUAGGGGUUCUGAGAGGAAGAUCCCCCACAUUGGAACUGAGACACGGUCCAAACUCCUACGGGAGGCAGCAGUGAGGAAUAUUGGUCAAUGGGCGAGAGCCUGAACCAGCCAAGUAGCGUGAAGGAUGACUGCCCUAUGGGUUGUAAACUUCUUUUAUAAAGGAAUAAAGUCGGGUAUGGAUACCCGUUUGCAUGUACUUUAUGAAUAAGGAUCGGCUGACUCCGUGCCAGCAGCCGCGGUAAUACGGAGGAUCCGAGCGUUAUCCGGAUUUAUUGGGUUUAAAGGGAGCGUAGAUGGAUGUUUAAGUCAGUUGUGAAAGUUUGCGGCUCAACCGUAAAAUUGCAGUUGAUACUGGAUAUCUUGAGUGCAGUUGAGGCAGGCGGAAUUCGUGGUGUAGCGGUGAAAUGCUUAGAUAUCACGAAGAACUCCGAUUGCGAAGGCAGCCUGCUAAGCUG
RNAcentral lists this ribosomal RNA (704 nucleotides) under uncultured Bacteroidales bacterium. Its description in RNAcentral is "bacterial SSU rRNA". It matches the Rfam family "Bacterial small subunit ribosomal RNA", at positions 43 to 736 of the family's 1533-position model. The record is from RNAcentral. Lineage: Bacteria; Pseudomonadati; Bacteroidota; Bacteroidia; Bacteroidales.